ACCAGGAUGGCCUAGAGGUUAAGGUGUAAGACAAAUGUUGCAAUGGACAAAUGUCCUUCUGGGUUCGAACUACAGUCCUGGUA
This 83-nucleotide transfer RNA is filed under the name Danionella cerebrum. RNAcentral describes it as "tRNA-Ile". The record is from RNAcentral. Lineage: Eukaryota; Metazoa; Chordata; Actinopteri; Cypriniformes; Danionidae.